Molecule: unclassified non-coding RNA, 311 nt
Filed under: rhizosphere metagenome
Description: partial ribosomal RNA internal transcribed spacer region
Source: RNAcentral
GUAGGUGAACCUGCGGAAGGAUCAUUAACAUGUGAGGCCACGGGGGCAGGCUCUCCGCAAGGACAGUUAUUUGGAUAUUCGGUUCCAUUAGCUGGGGUGGACUGGAGAACACUGUCGGCGAUACACUGCUGACCUCUGUUUGACCUCCACUAUCGAGCUGCCGCCUGAACCAUACCCUUGCUUUUUGCGCACCUAUUGUUUCCUCGGCAGGCUUGCCUGCCAGUAGGACCCUAUUUAACCCUUUGUAAUUGCAGUCAGCGUCAGAAACAACGUAAUCGUUACAACUUUCAACAACGGAUCUCUUGGUUCUG